GGAAUUACUGGGCGUAAAGCGAGCGCAGACGGUUACUUAAGCAGGAUGUGAAAUCCCCGGGCUCAACCUGGGAACUGCGUUCUGAACUGGGUGACUAGAGUGUGUCAGAGGGAGGUAGAAUUCCACGUGUAGCAGUGAAAUGCGUAGAGAUGUGGAGGAAUACCGAUGGCGAAGGCAGCCUCCUGGGAUAACACUGACGUUCAUGCUCGAAAGCGUGGGUAGCAAACAGGAUUAGAUACCCUGGUAGUCAAGGGCG
RNAcentral lists this ribosomal RNA (256 nucleotides) under uncultured Neisseriales bacterium. RNAcentral describes it as "partial 16S ribosomal RNA". It matches the Rfam family "Bacterial small subunit ribosomal RNA", at positions 547 to 802 of the family's 1533-position model. The record is from RNAcentral. Lineage: Bacteria; Pseudomonadati; Pseudomonadota; Betaproteobacteria; Neisseriales.